Molecule: ribosomal RNA, 429 nt
Filed under: uncultured bacterium
Lineage: Bacteria
Description: bacterial SSU rRNA
Rfam family: Bacterial small subunit ribosomal RNA
Source: RNAcentral
UGCCAGACUCCUACGGGAGGCAGCAGUGGGGAAUAUUGCACAAUGGGGGAAACCCUGAUGCAGCGACGCCGCGUGAGUGAAGAAGUAUUUCGGUAUGUAAAGCUCUAUCAGCAGGGAAGAAAAUGACGGUACCUGAUUAAGAAGCCCCGGCUAACUACGUGCCAGCAGCCGCGGUAAUACGUAGGGGGCAAGCGUUAUCCGGAUUUACUGGGUGUAAAGGGAGCGUAGACGGCAGCACAAGUCUGGAGUGAAAUGCCGGGGCUUAACCCCGGAACUGCGUUGGAAACUGUGCAGCUAGAGUGCAGGAGAGGUAAGUGGAAUUCCUAGUGUAGCGGUGAAAUGCGUAGAUAUUAGGAGGAACACCAGUGGCGAAGGCGGCUUACUGGACUGUAACUGACGUUGAGGCUCGAAAGCGUGGGGAGCAAACAG